This 130-nucleotide non-coding RNA is filed under the name Paramoeba aestuarina. The record is from RNAcentral. Lineage: Eukaryota; Discosea; Flabellinia; Dactylopodida; Paramoebidae.
CGCAGUCAGAAUCAGAGUCAGAAGGAGAAGGGGAAGAGGAGGGAGAAGAAGAAGAGUCUGUUUUUCGUUUUUUUGUGUUUUGGGGCCUGUUCUUUUUCUUCUCUUUUUCUUUUGUUUUCUUUUUUCUUUG